RNAcentral lists this long non-coding RNA (1047 nucleotides) under Heterocephalus glaber (naked mole-rat). RNAcentral describes it as "lncRNA (ENSHGLG00100033333.1)". The record is from RNAcentral. Lineage: Eukaryota; Metazoa; Chordata; Mammalia; Rodentia; Bathyergidae.
GAAAUUGGUGCCUCUCUCUCUGUUCUUCUCUUCAACCCUGGCCUUCCUUCCAGCCAUCAUACAUCAGUAAAAGGAGUCACUGGAGAAGAGGUACAAAUCUCUGUGAUGCUCCAGGGGCCUUCAGAUAACAAGUACUUCUGGGAAGAAAUGAAAAGACCAACUGCCAGUGUUUGUUGAAGAAGGGCUGUUUUUCCUCACAUGAUGCAACAGACGGCCUUGACAGACUGAUGGGUGGGAAGGAAGAAACCUACAUCUCCAUCUACUCGGCUCCUAUUGACUCAUUCUACCAUGCCACAUCAGACUUACAUAUUCAUGUCUUUUCUUCUAAACCCUCAGCCAUCUAGAAUUGAGCUGAUUUGAAUAAACUAUGAAAACAGCAACCAAAUACAGACAAAACACAUUAUACAUUAUUGCACUCUACAGAUUCUGCAUUUUUAAAAAACAAAUUGAAGUUUCUGUAAACCUAGAUCUAUUGGUGCCAUUUUUAACAGAUGAGAUGACCUUUAGCAUUUUAUCAAUAAAGCAUUUUAACUAAGAGUAUGUGCACUGUUUUGAUAUAAUCCUAUUAUAUAGUUAAUAGGCUACAUAUAGUAUAAACUUCUACAUGCAUAUAGAAACAAUACAAAUGAUUUGCUUUAUUGUGUAUUUUGCUUGUUACAGUACAGACCUGAACAUGUAUCUCUGAAGGCCUGUACUCAAACACAACUGGCAUUUUGGGACUGUUAUGGCUUGUAUCUAGAUGUCCCCCCAAGGCCUCAUGUACUCAUAGGUGGGGCUUUGGGGCGGUGACUGGAUCAUGGGUGUGUGAUACUGGACUAGUCCACUGAUGUAUGUAUAGCGGGGUGUCAUGUUGGGAGGUGAAGCCUUGUAGGAGAUGGGUCACUAUGGGCAUGACCCAGAGGGUAUAUAUCCCUCAUCCUCUAUUGAUAUGUGCACUACAUCCUGCCUGCCUUGCCAUGGACUGUUUCUCCACAUACUGCCUUGCCUUGGGGCCAGCCGAUUAUUCACUAAAACCUACACAAACUAUGAGUUAAAAUAAAUCUUUCC